UUGAACUUCGUAACUUGUGUAGGUUUAACUUGACCUAAUUUACUUAUUUUUAUACUAUACCAACUUAUAUCUUCAAAUUUUAGAUGCAUAUACUGUCAGUCAUUCUAAAAAGUUGACUUAGCGCUCAGUCACUUUCCAUCCAACAGACCCAUCAUGUUGUCAAAAGCCUAAAACUCAUGUGUGAAGCUCACAUAUUGUGGAAUACAAAUGUGCGGGGACAAGGUAUUUCCCCAUUACUGCUACCACAACAACCACACCACGUCUAAUGCCUUACUAAUACUAAAUUCAGCACCAUUCACCCAUAUGAUAAAGGAAAUUUACAUCAACCUCAGGAGUAAACCUGUUGGUUGCUGUGAUUUCCAUUUUUGCGGUUUUUUGUCAUGAAAACUUCAGUAUGCUUGUUAGUAUAGAGCGCAUAAAAGAUCCUAAUAAGCCAAUGCUGACCUUUGUUCAUGACGGAAGAGGGAC
Long non-coding RNA from Daphnia pulex (common water flea), 468 nucleotides. RefSeq lists it as uncharacterized. The record is from RefSeq and is a predicted model, not a curated record. Lineage: Eukaryota; Metazoa; Arthropoda; Branchiopoda; Diplostraca; Daphniidae. The transcript has 3 exons.